CGCCGUAACCGCCGCCGGAGCUUCCUCCUCCGUAACCGCCGCCGGAGCUUCCUCCUCCGUAGCCGCCGCCGUAACUUCCGCCGCCGCGUCCACCGCCUCCGGAACUAAACGGGGUGAGGUCACAUUCGGUUAUCUCUAACGUUGGAAAACGAUGGCGCUAACACCCAUUAUGGAGAUUAACCACUUUUCAUCGGGUUUUUAACUCUAAGUCUUGAGGAAUACAACGGUGAAUGCAAGGGCAAACAGUGUACUGUGGAGAUACAAAAUGUUUUGAGACAUCUGUGACCAGACAUGUCACGUGUGAAUAUACUGUUGAAUUUCAAAG
Molecule: non-coding RNA, 325 nt
Organism: Macaca mulatta (Rhesus monkey)
Lineage: Eukaryota; Metazoa; Chordata; Mammalia; Primates; Cercopithecidae
Source: RefSeq, a predicted model, not a curated record